UACAGAGGUCUCAAGCGUUGUUCGGAUUCAUUGGGCGUAAAGGGUGUGUAGGUGGCGCGCUAAGUCGGGUGUGAAAUUUCGGAGCUUAACUCCGAAACUGCAUUCGAUACUGGCGUGCUUGAGGACUGGAGAGGAGACUGGAAUUUACGGUGUAGCAGUGAAAUUCGUAGAUAUGGGGAGGAACACCGGUGGCGAAGGCGGUUCUCUGGGCCUGUACUGACGCUGAGGAGCGAAAGCGUGGGGAGCGAACAGG
RNAcentral lists this ribosomal RNA (253 nucleotides) under uncultured bacterium. RNAcentral's name for it is "partial 16S ribosomal RNA". It matches the Rfam family "Bacterial small subunit ribosomal RNA", at positions 524 to 776 of the family's 1533-position model. The record is from RNAcentral.